UACGGAGGGGGCAAGCGUUAUCCGGAAUCACUGGGUUUAAAGGGUGCGUAGGCGGUGGUGUAAGUCAGGUGUGAAAUUCCCUCGCUUAACGAGUGGGACUGCGAUUGAUACUGCCACGCUUGAAUCAGGAUGAGGUAGGCGGAAUGCGGCAUGUAGCGGUGAAAUGCUUAGAUAUGGCAUAGAACACCGAUGGCGAAGGCAGCUUACUGGCCCUGUAUUGACGCUGAGGCACGAAAGCUUGGGGAGCAAAAAGG
RNAcentral lists this ribosomal RNA (254 nucleotides) under uncultured bacterium. RNAcentral describes it as "partial 16S ribosomal RNA". It matches the Rfam family "Bacterial small subunit ribosomal RNA", at positions 524 to 776 of the family's 1533-position model. The record is from RNAcentral.